GCAGCAGCUUCCAAAGGGGUCUUCCCUACUAUUUUAUUAGCUUCUCUUCCGUCCCAUUGUUUCCCAUACUUGACCAGAAAUCCUUUUAAAACAUCAGUUACUAUUUCAUCUGUAUUGAGAAAGGUACCAUCUAAAUCAAGGAUCACUGCAGAAACAAGCUUCUUGAAUGGGUUUGCCAUUAACGUUUUAGAAAUCAUACAUAAAACUCGCCAAUAUUAUACUCUGAUUUUAAGAAUGC
Molecule: unclassified non-coding RNA, 238 nt
Filed under: Hevea brasiliensis (rubber tree)
Lineage: Eukaryota; Viridiplantae; Streptophyta; Magnoliopsida; Malpighiales; Euphorbiaceae
Source: RNAcentral